GUGAAUGCUGGCGGUAUGGAUAAGGCAUACAAGUCGAAUGGGUUUAGACCCAUGGCAGACGAGGUAGUAACGCGUAGGAACGUCCCCGAAAGUCGGGCAUAACUCGUCGAAAGGCGAGAUAAUUCCCGAUGGUCUCGCAAGAGUAAAGAUUUAUCGCUUUCGGAGCGGCCUGCGUAAUAUCAGCUAGUUGGUAAGGUAAUGGCUUACCAAGGCUACGACGUUUAGGGGAGCUGAGAGGCUGACCCCAACCGAUGAGACUGAGACACGGCUCAUACCCCUACGGGGGGCCGCAGCCGAGAAUAUUCGACAAUGGGCGAAAGCCUGAUCGAGCGAUACCGCGUGGUGGAUGAAGUGAUUCGUCACCUAAACAUCUUUUAUGAGGGAAGAAGUUAUUGACAUUACCUCAUGAAUAAGGGGCUCCUAACUCUGU
This 430-nucleotide ribosomal RNA is filed under the name uncultured bacterium. RNAcentral's name for it is "bacterial SSU rRNA". It matches the Rfam family "Bacterial small subunit ribosomal RNA", at positions 29 to 506 of the family's 1533-position model. The record is from RNAcentral.